GGGGAUAGAGCUCAGUGGUAAAGCGUGAGCUUAGCACGCACGAGGUCCUGGGUUCCGUCCCCAGCACCUCCG
This 72-nucleotide transfer RNA is filed under the name Camelus bactrianus (Bactrian camel). It matches the Rfam family "tRNA". From Rfam's summary of the family: Transfer RNA (tRNA) molecules are approximately 80 nucleotides in length. Their secondary structure includes four short double-helical elements and three loops (D, anti-codon, and T loops). Further hydrogen bonds mediate the characteristic L-shaped molecular structure. tRNAs have two regions of fundamental functional importance: the anti-codon, which is responsible for specific mRNA codon recognition, and the 3' end, to which the tRNAs corresponding amino acid is attached (by aminoacyl-tRNA synthetases). tRNAs cope with the degeneracy of the genetic code in two manners: having more than one tRNA (with a specific anti-codon) for a particular amino acid; and 'wobble' base-pairing, i.e. permitting non-standard base-pairing at the 3rd anti-codon position. RNAcentral also lists the same sequence under 1 other name. The record is from Rfam by way of RNAcentral. Lineage: Eukaryota; Metazoa; Chordata; Mammalia; Artiodactyla; Camelidae.